ACGGGUGAGUAACGCGUGAGCAAUCUGCCUCACGAGAGGGGGACAACAGCUGGAAACGGCUGCUAAUACCGCAUAAGACCACACUACAGCAUUGUAGAGGGUAAAAGGAGCGAUCCGGCUUUGAGAUGAGCUCGCGUCCCAUUAGUUAGUUGGCGGGGUAACGGCCCACCAAGACGACGAUGGGUAGCCGACCUGAGAGGGUCGAUCGGCCACACUGGAACUGAGACACGGUCCAGACUCCUACGGGAGGCAGCAGUGGGGAAUAUUGGGCAAUGGGCGAAAGCCUGAACCCCCAGCAACGCCGCGUGAAGGAAGAAGGUCUUCGGAGUUGUAAACAUCUGUCCUAGUGGGACGAAGGAAGUGACGGUACCUAUAGGAGGAAGCCCCGGCUAACUACGUGCCAGCAGCCGC
RNAcentral lists this ribosomal RNA (411 nucleotides) under uncultured bacterium. RNAcentral describes it as "bacterial SSU rRNA". It matches the Rfam family "Bacterial small subunit ribosomal RNA", at positions 102 to 518 of the family's 1533-position model. The record is from RNAcentral.